Molecule: ribosomal RNA, 465 nt
Filed under: uncultured bacterium
Lineage: Bacteria
Description: bacterial SSU rRNA
Rfam family: Bacterial small subunit ribosomal RNA
Source: RNAcentral
AGCAGCAGUGGGGAAUAUUGCACAAUGGGCGCAAGCCUGAUGCAGCAACGCCGCGUGAGGGACGAAGGCCUUCGGGUUGUAAACCUCUUUUAGCAGGGAAGAAGCGAAAGUGACGGUACCUGCAGAAAAAGCACCGGCUAACUACGUGCCAGCAGCCGCGGUAAUACGUAGGGUGCAAGCGUUGUCCGGAAUUAUUGGGCGUAAAGAGCUCGUAGGCGGUUUGUCACGUCUGCUGUGAAAAUUCGAGGCUCAACCUCGAACUUGCAGUGGGUACGGGCAGGCUAGAGUGCGGUAGGGGAGAUGGGAAUUCCUGGUGUAGCGGUGGAAUGCGCAGAUAUCAGGAGGAACACCAAUGGCGAAGGCACAUCUCUGGGCCGUAACUGACGCUGAGGAGCGAAAGCAUGGGGAGCAAACAGGAUUAGAUACCCUGGUAGUCCACGCCGUAAACGGUGGGUGCUAGAUGUG